RNAcentral lists this ribosomal RNA (183 nucleotides) under uncultured Bacteroidota bacterium. RNAcentral describes it as "uncultured Bacteroidetes bacterium partial 16S ribosomal RNA". It matches the Rfam family "Bacterial small subunit ribosomal RNA", at positions 79 to 262 of the family's 1533-position model. Lineage: Bacteria; Pseudomonadati; Bacteroidota. The record is from RNAcentral.
AAUACUUUGAUGGCGACCGGCAAACGGGUGCGGAACACGUACACAACCCUCCGAUAAGUGGGGAAUAGCCCAGAGAAAUUUGGAUUAAUACCCCGUAACAUUGCGAUGUGGCAUCACAUUGCAAUUAUAGCUUCGGCGCUUAUUGAUGGGUGUGCGUAUGAUUAGAUAGUUGGUGGGGAACGG